This 1395-nucleotide long non-coding RNA is filed under the name Bemisia tabaci. RNAcentral's name for it is "lncRNA ENSSSA2NGG004472". Lineage: Eukaryota; Metazoa; Arthropoda; Insecta; Hemiptera; Aleyrodidae. The record is from RNAcentral.
CCCCCCCUUUGAUUUUCAACAAUAGUGCGGAGAAACUGUUGAAUUUAUAAAUCGACGGUGAAACUACCAAACCACGUAUCUCGGUUUGCGACGUUGCAGACUUCCUGUCAUACUUUAUUUUUUAAAUGAAAAACUACUUAACGUCUAGUCUUGAAAAUUUCUGUGAUUUUUCCUCUUCGUGCGGAGAAAAUCCUGUGAAAAUUUCAAGGAAUGAUAUUGAUUUGGUCUACUUAAAAAAAAUAAAAUGCGAGCGUAGAUUUUUAAACACCGCAAACGAGAUACGUGGUUUGGUAGUUUCACCGUCGAAAUGGAUAAAAUUUGAAGCAUUUGUAAUGAAAGUGUGACACAUAACGUCGCAGAAAUGAGGAUGAUACGUUGAAGGCAGUGUUCGAAACUCACGAUUUUUAAUACCACAAGCAUUUAUCCUUAUUUUAUUAAUGUUUUACAGGUUUUCCAGCCGGUCGGCCGGUGACCCGGCAAGAAAUCAAGGAGCGGAUCAAGGUGCUGUAUCCAAAAGCCGGCCAAGACGUGAUCGUGCUGAGAUGGCUACGGAAGAGGACGGUGGAACUUGAAGUACCUUGUACACUGUGAGACGUAACUUCGUGACGUGAAAUUCAUCGACAGAUCAAGAGAGAGGAAAAAAAGAAGAGAAUGACAGAAGAAAGACUAACGAAUGAUUGAAUAGAGUUGAAUUGCCAUUACCUGUUCAGAAUCCGCUGUGUGUUUGACGAGCGAGGAUGGAUGCAGACUCAGACGUGAUAGUGGGACAAUUGAGAGCACUCUCUCAAAUCGACAACCGAUGGCACAGGCAACCUUGCUAUUGCGUUGCGCAAUUGAGAAGGAUAUCGAUUCACUUUCUCAGAGCAGCGAUGAGUAAAUGUAUAAAGGUAGGUCUGCUAUUACACUACGUCCGGCAACAAUGGUUUCUUUCGUGGCUAAAAUCUUCCCACUUACCCUGUGAAGCCUUGAAAUUCCUAAGCGCAAAGAAGUCGUAUUGAAGAAGGGUUCGUGCUGUGUUACUUUCCGAAUACAAUAGUAUUCACUUGUCCAACAUAGUAAUAAAUUUCUCUUUUUAGAGGCAUUUGCAUUGCCAAGGUCAUGGUCAAGGUUUUCUAGUUUGAGUGUUCAAUAUUCUGAAUGUUAAUUUUCGGCAGUAUAUCCUGUGCAAUACGUGUGGUUAGAGUACCUGUAUAGGGAGAGUAUGGACACGUCGAAAAUUUUGAGGUUAGGUGAUGGAGCUCUUAGACCCCAAAAGGGUAAGGCAAUCUAUAAAUUCAAAUUAUCCAGAGUGAUUUAUAAUCACAAUUGUUGGGAACUGUCGUUGGUGAAGCACGUAUUUGACUUGGUUUUCGCAUAAACUUACUCAUUUUUGCGGAAGAAUGCUUACUUAUAAAU